RNAcentral lists this transfer RNA (71 nucleotides) under Candidatus Zixiibacteriota bacterium. RNAcentral describes it as "tRNA-Gln". It matches the Rfam family "tRNA". From Rfam's summary of the family: Transfer RNA (tRNA) molecules are approximately 80 nucleotides in length. Their secondary structure includes four short double-helical elements and three loops (D, anti-codon, and T loops). The record is from RNAcentral. Lineage: Bacteria; Pseudomonadati; Candidatus Zixiibacteriota.
UGGGACAUCGUCCAAUGGUAGGGCACGCGGCUCUGGACCGUGUAAUCGGGGUUCGAAUCCCUGUGUCCCAG